GCAAGAUUAAAACUCAAAGGAAUUGACGGGGCCCCGCACAAGCAGCGGAGCAUGCGGCUUAAUUCGACGCAACGCGAAGAACCUUACCAAGGCUUGACAUAUACAGGAAUACGGCAGAGAUGUCGUAGCCGCAAGGUCUGUAUACAGGUGGUGCAUGGUUGUCGUCAGCUCGUGUCGUGAGAUGUUGGGUUAAGUCCCGCAACGAGCGCAACCCUCGUUCUGUGUUGCCAGCAUUUAGUUGGGGACUCACAGGAGACUGCCGGGGUUAACUCGGAGGAAGGUGGGGAUGACGUCAAAUCAUCAUGCCCCUUAUGUCUUGGGCUGCACGCAUGCUACAAUGGCUGGUACAAACGGCUGCGAUACCGCAAGGUGGAGCGAAUCCGAUAAAGCCAGUCUCAGUUCGGAUUGGGGUCUGCAACUCGACCCCAUGAAGUCGGAGUUGCUAGUAAUCGUAGAUCAGCAACGCUACGGUGAAUACGUUCCCGGGGCUUGUACACACCGCCCGUCACAUCGCGAAAGUCGGUAACACC
Molecule: ribosomal RNA, 530 nt
Filed under: uncultured Actinomycetes bacterium
Lineage: Bacteria; Bacillati; Actinomycetota; Actinomycetes
Description: bacterial SSU rRNA
Rfam family: Bacterial small subunit ribosomal RNA
Source: RNAcentral